GUGGGAUGACAUCAAGUCCUCAUGGCCCUUAUGGUAGGGCUUCACACGUCAUACAAUGGUCGGUACAGAGGGUUGCCAAGCCGCGAGGUGGAGCCAAUCCCUUAAAGCCGAUCGUAGUCCGGAUCGUAGUCUGCAACUCGACUACGUGAAGUCGGAAUCGCUAGUAAUCGCAGAUCAGCAUGCUGCGGUGAAUACGUUCCCGGGUCUU
Molecule: ribosomal RNA, 208 nt
Filed under: uncultured Thauera sp.
Lineage: Bacteria; Pseudomonadati; Pseudomonadota; Betaproteobacteria; Rhodocyclales; Zoogloeaceae
Description: partial 16S ribosomal RNA
Rfam family: Bacterial small subunit ribosomal RNA
Source: RNAcentral